Molecule: ribosomal RNA, 253 nt
Filed under: uncultured bacterium
Lineage: Bacteria
Description: partial 16S ribosomal RNA
Rfam family: Bacterial small subunit ribosomal RNA
Source: RNAcentral
UACGGAGGGGGCUAGCGUUGUUCGGAAUUACUGGGCGUAAAGGGCUCGUAGGCGGCCAACUAAGUCAUACGUGAAAUCCCUCAGCUUAACUGGGGAACUGCGUGUGAUACUGGAUGGCUUGGAUUUGGGAGAGGGAUGCGGAAUUCCAGGUGUAGCGGUGAAAUGCGUAGAUAUCUGGAGGAACACCGGUGGCGAAGGCGGCAUCCUGGACCAAUAUUGACGCUGAGGAGCGAAAGCCAGGGGAGCAAACGGG